Long non-coding RNA from Chinchilla lanigera (long-tailed chinchilla), 2629 nucleotides. RefSeq lists it as uncharacterized. The record is from RefSeq and is a predicted model, not a curated record. The transcript is spliced from 2 exons. NCBI's taxonomy places the organism in Eukaryota, Metazoa, Chordata, Mammalia, Rodentia, Chinchillidae.
AACACAUAGCUUCAUUCCCAAGCUCACUAGCUGGGGAUUCUUUGAAACUUCAGUUGCACAUCACUCAGAGCAAUGUGACCUCCAGGAAAACUCAGGCUUGGAACUCUUCGAGGAGGGUACCAAAGUCAUAGCUAAACUGAUAAAUAUACAGAAUUUUUGAUAAGAGCAAGAGAUGACUUGAAACAUACAGCAAACAGUAUGAAGGAUGAUUGAAGGAACUAGAGUUUAUUCAAGACAGAUAUGAUAAUCACCAAGAAUUGCAAGCUAAUAAAUCAGUCUGCCACAGUUUCAAGGAUAUUGGCAUAGACACAAGACUCCUGGGUCAGAGACAUUGGAUAGUUUAUUACUCACAGUGAUACAGUACUCACAGUAUCAGUAUUUUCUUAUGCCACUUCCUUAAGCCCUAGUUCCCAUUGAGCAGCUCAAGGAGGGCCAGGUAAAGCUUUCACACAUAGUGGAUUGAUUUAUAGGGGAGAGAUCUUGAGGUUAGGAAACUUCGGUCUUUUAUAAUGGGCUGCAGGUCAACUGGCCUAACCAUCUUCCAGAAAGAAGUGAGAUACUAUCGCUAAAUCUUUUCAAAAAGGGCAAACUAGCAUUAGAGUCUUUGCUGGAGACAUGAAGAAACAGGAGAGGCUCCUAAGAACUGGCUUUCGACAAUGACUACAAGUUGAGAGUUGUCAUAAUAAAGAGUACUAGAAAUCUCUUGCUCCUAAAUGAUAAAUCAGGACAAAUUGGUGAAAACUGUGGAAAGAAAAAUUUCUGACAGAUAAAGACAUUUAUAAAAAACAAAGCAAGUAUAAAGUGGGAUGGACACCCGAACAAGUUAGACAUGUACAGGAAGAAACUGGACGGCCAUUUUUGGUUGACCAUCAAGGAAAAUAUUCAUAUACCAAGAAGUACUGAGUUUAAUGGUAGUUAAGCCUCUUCUUGAGCUCUGAUUAUCAGAGAACAGAGGAGAGAAAGAACAAAAAGAAAGUAGUUUUCCAUUUAUACAUGCAACAUAUGUUCCGGGAUAUGCCAUUAGAUACCUAAAACCUCAGAUAAUACUAAACCUUAUAUAUCCUAUGGUUUUUCCUGUACGUACAUAUCUGCGGUAAGGUUUAAUUAUAACACACGUACAGUAAGAGAUUGCAAACAGUAAUUCAUAAUGAAACAAAAUGAUUAUGACUAUACACUGCAAGGAAAGUUAUGUGAAUAUGGUCCCUGUUUCUGGAAUUUUCUAUUUCAUAUUCUUAUACUAUGAUGGAUUGUGGGUAACAGACUGCAGAAAAGGAAGCCACAGCUAAGGAGGGAGCCCUGCAACAAAGAAAAAAGUCAGGAUGGAAAUGGAUUGAAUGCACUUGCAAACCACAGGGGCUUCCUUGUACUGUGUGUCUUCCUCAGCUCUGUGUCCUAAGAGGAGUUAGGCAUCUCCGCCAAGUCACAGAGAGGGCGGUAUGGUCGUGGCUAUGAUCUCCCUUGUUAGCCCUCUUUGGUAAAGAAAAACGGCUUCUUCUUUGGAAACGAAGAAACUUGAAACUUUACCCCAGACUGAUUGUCCUUAUUUUGAGAAACAGAAGCUUUGCUAAAGAAUCCUCUACCAUCUAACUGCAAAUACUCCAAUUUCCCAGACACUUCAACUGAAGCUUCAGAAUAUUCUAAAAGAGAAUAUAUCACCUAUGUAUUUUUUUUUUUUAGAAAUAAUACACAUUUUACUCCCUGACACACCCUACAACCAAAAGAUACUAUUUGAGAUUAUUUUACCUCUCAUGUCAAUUAGCAGGUAGAUAUAGUUUCAUCCAUAGAUUUAUUAACUUACCAGUUUGAAUUCAUGUACUCAUCACCUGGGUAAGAUGAUACAACUCUACAACCACUGGUUGGCAAAUGACUGCGAUCUUACAGUACGACCAAUUUCUCUGUUUCUUUAUGUGUAAAGUGAGUCAGUUGACAUAGAUGACAGCAGUGUUUCUUUCCAGCGUUUCAACCUCUAAAGAACCCAUGAAAAAAUGUUUUCCUAGAAGCUACUAUAAGCCUGGUGCUCUAGGGCUGGAUAAUUCAGAGCUUGGAAGAGAAUUAUGGUAGACAUCUCUUUUGAAAGAUGUUUUAAAGGAGACCCUCUUACUCUAAAACAAAGUGUAGAAAUAUCAAUCAGAAUAUUUGGAAAGGGAUCUAAGAAGUUCUUGUAGACAAAACAUGAGAAGUCAUUUGUAACCAAAAAUAGGAUGAAAGUUCUACUCUGUAAUAAAUUCAGCAGAGCAUGAAAGAAAAAAAGAAAGAAAGAAAGAAUGAAAGAAAGAAAGAAAAAAAGAAAGAAAGGAGCAAGCCUGGGAAGGGACCAGAUUGGCCAAAGUGUUGAACCUGAGCUCAUCAGACAGCAAGCUACAGCAUGGGGGGCUCUCAGCUGCAGAGUACACAUCUGAUUGGAAACAGUUCAUUUCUACUUUUCAGAAAGAGGUGGUGCAAACAAAGCUGAAAGAAGUCAUUUUUUUCUAUCUCCAAACAAGCAAAAAAUCUCUUCUGGCAUGGACCAGUUUGAUCCUGGAUUGCGUGCAUUUGGAUAAUGAUUUGGGCACUUAUUUUUGAAGAUCAUGACUCUACUUUGCAACUUUGUGAUUAAUCAAUAAAUGACUUGGAAGACUCAUCUCACAAA